Syngnathoides biaculeatus (alligator pipefish) is the source of this 182-nucleotide small nucleolar RNA. RefSeq annotates it as small nucleolar RNA SNORA23. The transcript has a single exon. The record is from RefSeq and is a predicted model, not a curated record. NCBI's taxonomy places the organism in Eukaryota, Metazoa, Chordata, Actinopteri, Syngnathiformes, Syngnathidae.
GGGGGACGGUGUGCAUGGCGUCCGUCCGUGUCACGUGCGGUUGCCGGCCUGCGUUUUGCAGGUCGUGCAGCGGCGCUCACUCCACACCCCGUAGCCGUAGAACACGCGGAGUUCAUAGUACUGGUCUUUGUUGUCAUUAAUGACGCUUUACCGACGGCCAGCCUCCAAACUCUCCGACAUGC